Molecule: ribosomal RNA, 496 nt
Filed under: uncultured bacterium
Lineage: Bacteria
Description: partial 16S ribosomal RNA
Rfam family: Bacterial small subunit ribosomal RNA
Source: RNAcentral
AUGAACGCUGGCGGCGUGCCUAAUACAUGCAAGUCGAGCGAACGGACGAGAAGCUUGCUUUUCUGAUGUUAGCGGCGGACGGGUGAGUAACACGUGGAUAACCUACCUAUAAGACUGGGAUAACUUCGGGAAACCGUAGCUAAUACCGGAUAAUAUUUUGAACCGCAUGGUUCAAAAGUGAAAGACGGUCUUGCUGUCACUUAUAGAUGGAUCCGCGCUGCAUUAGCUAGUUGGUAAGGUAACGGCUUACCAAGGCAACGAUGCAUAGCCGACCUGAGAGGGUGAUCGGCCACACUGGAACUGAGACACGGUCCAGACUCCUACGGGAGGCAGCAGUAGGGAAUCUUCCGCAAUGGGCGAAAGCCUGACGGAGCAACGCCGCGUGAGUGAUGAAGGUCUUCGGAUCGUAAAACUCUGUUAUUAGGGAAGAACAUAUGUGUAAGUAACUGUGCACAUCUUGACGGUACCUAAUCAGAAAGCCACGGCUAACUACGUG